This 468-nucleotide ribosomal RNA is filed under the name uncultured bacterium. RNAcentral describes it as "partial 16S ribosomal RNA". It matches the Rfam family "Bacterial small subunit ribosomal RNA", at positions 28 to 507 of the family's 1533-position model. The record is from RNAcentral.
GACGAACGCUGGCGGCGUGCUUAACACAUGCAAGUCGAACGGAAAGGCCCUGCUUUUGUGGGGUGCUCGAGUGGCGAACGGGUGAGUAACACGUGAGUAACCUGCCCUUGACUUUGGGAUAACUUCAGGAAACUGGGGCUAAUACCGGAUAGGAGCUCCUGCUGCACGGUGGGGGUUGGAAAGUUUCGGCGGUUGGGGCUGGACUCGCGGCUUAUCAGCCUGUUGGUGGGGUAGUGGCUUACCAAGGCUUUGACGGGUAGCCGGCCUGAGAGGGUGACCGGCCACAUUGGGACUGAGAUACGGCCCAGACUCCUACGGGAGGCAGCAGCGGGGAAUAUUGCACAAUGGGCGGAAGCCUGAUGCAGCAACGCCGCGUGCGGGAUGACGGCCUUCGGGUUGUAAACCGCUUUCGCCUGUGACGAAGCGUGAGUGACGGUAAUGGGUAAAGAAGCACCGGCUAACUACGUG